UGGGGAAUCUUGCACAAUGGGGGCAACCCUGAUGCAGCGACGCCGCGUGAGCGAUGAAGCCCUUCGGGGCGUAAAGCUCUCUCGACCGGAACGAUAAUGACGGUACCGGGAGAAGAAGCUGCGGCUAACUACGUGCCAGCAGCCGCGGUAAUACGUAGGCAGCAAGCGUUGUUCGGAGUUACUGGGCGUAAAGAGUGCGUAGGCGGUUUUCUAAGUUCGGUGUGAAAUCUCCCGGCUUAACAGGGAGGGUGCGCCGAAGACUGGGAAGCUGGAGUGUGGGAAAGGCAGGCGGAAUUCCUGGUGUAGCGGUGAAAUGCGUAGAUAUCAGGAGGAACACCGGCGGUGUAGACGGCUUGCUAGACCAUAACUGACGCUGAGGCACGAAAGCGUGGGUAGCAAACA
Molecule: ribosomal RNA, 402 nt
Filed under: uncultured bacterium
Lineage: Bacteria
Description: bacterial SSU rRNA
Rfam family: Bacterial small subunit ribosomal RNA
Source: RNAcentral